UGGGGAAUUUUGCACAAUGGGGGGAACCUUGAUGCAGCGACGCCGCGUGAGGGAUGGAGGCCUUCGGGUUGUGAACCUCUUUCGCUCGUGUGCAAGCCGCUAUUUGGGUAGUGGUGAGUGUAGCGGGUAAAGAAGCGCCGGCUAACUACGUGCCAGCAGCCGCGGUAAUACGUAGGGCGCGAGCGUUGUCCGGACUUAUUGGGCGUUAAGGGCUUGUAGGCGGUUUGUUGCGCCUGUCGUGUAAUCCUCUGGCUUAACUGGGGGUGUGCGGUGGGUACGAGCAAGCUUGUGUGCGGUAGGGGAGAUUGGAAUUCCUGGUGUAGAGGUGGAAUGCGCAGAUAUCAGGAGGAACACCGGUGGCAAAGACGGGUCUCUGGGCCGUUACUGACGCUGAGGAGCAAAAGCGUGGGGAGCGAACAGG
RNAcentral lists this ribosomal RNA (421 nucleotides) under Fusobacteriota bacterium. Its description in RNAcentral is "Fusobacteria bacterium partial 16S ribosomal RNA". It matches the Rfam family "Bacterial small subunit ribosomal RNA", at positions 355 to 776 of the family's 1533-position model. Lineage: Bacteria; Fusobacteriati; Fusobacteriota. The record is from RNAcentral.